This 391-nucleotide ribosomal RNA is filed under the name Photobacterium damselae subsp. damselae. Its description in RNAcentral is "bacterial SSU rRNA". It matches the Rfam family "Bacterial small subunit ribosomal RNA", at positions 122 to 508 of the family's 1533-position model. Lineage: Bacteria; Pseudomonadati; Pseudomonadota; Gammaproteobacteria; Vibrionales; Vibrionaceae. The record is from RNAcentral.
GAAUAUGCCCUGAUGUGGGGGAUAACUAUUGGAAACGAUAGCUAAUACCGCAUAAUCUCUUCGGAGCAAAGAGGGGGACCUUCGGGCCUCUCGCGUCAGGAUUAGCCCAGGUGGGAUUAGCUUGUUGGUGAGGUAAUGGCUCACCAAGGCAACGAUCCCUAGCUGGUCUGAGAGGAUGAUCAGCCACACUGGAACUGAGACACGGUCCAGACUCCUACGGGAGGCAGCAGUGGGGAAUAUUGCACAAUGGGGGAAACCCUGAUGCAGCCAUGCCGCGUGUGUGAAGAAGGCCUUCGGGUUGUAAAGCACUUUCAGUAGGGAGGAAGGUAGUGUAGUUAACACCUGCAUUAUUUGACGUUACCUACAGAAGAAGCACCGGCUAACUCCGUGC